UGUGCCAGCAGCCGCGGUAACACCGGCAGCCCAAGUGGUAGCCACGCUUAUUGGGUCUAAAGCGUCCGUAGCCGGCCAAGUAAGUUCUUUGGGAAAUUUGACCGCUUAACGGUCAAGCUAUCAGGGAAUACUGCUUGGCUUGGGACCGGGAGAGGUCAGAGGUACUCCAAGGGUAGGGGUGAAAUCCGUUAAUCCUUGGGGGACCACCGGUAGCGAAGGCGUCUGACCAGACCGGGUCCGACGGUGAGGGACGAAGGCUAGGGUCGCGAACCGGAUUAGAUACCCGGGUAGUCCUAGCUGUAAACGAUGCGGGCCAGGUGUUGGCAUUACUGCGAGUGAUUCCA
This 344-nucleotide ribosomal RNA is filed under the name uncultured organism. RNAcentral describes it as "bacterial SSU rRNA". It matches the Rfam family "Archaeal small subunit ribosomal RNA", at positions 454 to 797 of the family's 1478-position model. The record is from RNAcentral.